AGCAGUGUGGCUCAGUGGAGAGAGCACAGGCUUGGGAGUCAGAGAUCAUGGGUUUGAAUCCCGGCUCUGCCA
RNAcentral lists this transfer RNA (72 nucleotides) under Ornithorhynchus anatinus (platypus). It matches the Rfam family "tRNA". Rfam says of the family: Transfer RNA (tRNA) molecules are approximately 80 nucleotides in length. Lineage: Eukaryota; Metazoa; Chordata; Mammalia; Monotremata; Ornithorhynchidae. The record is from Rfam by way of RNAcentral.